CAAUGAAUUACGCGAACUCAACUUAAUUGAUUGCACCAUGUUGCUUGAAAUCGCCGCGAAAUUCCGCUGCGGUUUUAAAGAUGCGUAAACACCGUAAGCUUGAGAGGCUCAGCCAAGUUCUGCAGUCUCGCGUCAGUUAGUAACAUUCGUGCACGAGUGGUGUGGGUCACCACCCAGAGGCUCACACAGGCUUCUCCCAGAGGUGUCCUUUCACGGCCCAAGCUAGAGGAAGUGCCGUUUUGGAGGAGAUGAUCGGGAGUCUGGGGCCCUGAGCCUUCCACGUGUGUGCCUGUAUUCGGUCCUAACAGGUGUACCUCCAGUCACUGCUGAGCACGGCGUGGCCCCUGCCCGGGUCACAGCGCAGAGCUGGGGCCCAGCCCCCGUACACCCGUCGUCUCUCCAGCUACAGGAACCACGGCGGAAAGAGCCCCUCUCCAGACACUCAGCGGAGCGCCUGAUUCCAAAUGUGAUUGUAAAAAUCUCAAUUAAGACGAUCUUCAAUUAAUCGACUGUUCCGGAACUCGACGGUGAGGAAGGUUCUGGGUGAAAAGGAGGCUGGAGAAGGAGAACGAUACACGGGGAGAGGAAGGAAGCGCUGGGAGGACAGUCUCAGGGGAAAAGAGAGAAAGCCCUUCAUCCACUGCCCGCCGUGGGCGCUGGUAACUGCUUGGCCAGCAGCUCACCGGGAAAGAGAGAAACGCCCUUGCUUGGGGCGCUUGCCAAAGUGUGCGUGCCCUGGCGGUGGCUGAUUUCAACUCCCUUAACUCGGCACCGGGAAAAAUGAGACCCCAGGGCUCUCGUGACCCGGUGGGAGCUCGCCCCAGCACCCUGGCUGCAAGAGACCAGGGGACAAUUGCGAGGGACGGUGAGGAUGAAGGGAUGAAGGUCCUCCUCGGUGUGGAUGUGCCGCCUCCAGCCUCCACGCCACGCCAGGCCCUGGGGAGGCCGUGCCCCCAUGACCCCCGAUCUUUUUACGGGGUCUUGUUCGAUCUGGUCAAAGCGUGCCUUGAGCCCUGCCUCGGAUUUUAUUGCAUAUGCCCACCUCUUACUGGCCUUCCGUUUCCACCAAAGCGGAAAACCCCAACGCCAAAUAAUAAAGGCUCAUUACCAGUGACAAGGAGUGGCUGAUUAUUCCGGCAGAAAGUUCUAAGUACAAAGGCUGAAGGUUGGGAACAGACCCAGCGAUGAGGAGGUGUUUCUCAGUGGGCCCUACCAUCAGGGAUUUAUCUGAUUUGGGCUAAGGAGGGCAUGAUACUCAAAAGCCGGAGGUUAAACGUUUCGACGGAGAGAUCACAGCCAGAUCUCUUAAUCACUUACUUCAUUUGGCUUUAGAAAGUGUUUCUUCAUGCUUUCUUUUCAGCAUUUGGAUCUGGUUUUAAAUUAUUCAUACGAUGACAUUGCCUGAUUCCUCUCACAAAUUCAGAAAAACAUAAAAUAUUGGGAAAGGGUUGAUGGUUAACGAAUUUCAUCUUCUGAGGAAUUUUGAUAUCCUGUCCGUAACAGAGAUUGCCAGGGA
Molecule: long non-coding RNA, 1516 nt
Organism: Neofelis nebulosa (Clouded leopard)
Lineage: Eukaryota; Metazoa; Chordata; Mammalia; Carnivora; Felidae
Exons: 4
Source: RefSeq, a predicted model, not a curated record